CCUACGUGUGGCAGCAGUGAGGAAUAUUGGUCAAUGGACGAGAGUCUGAACCAGCCAAGUAGCGUGAAGGAUGACUGCCCUAUGGGUUGUAAACUUCUUUUAUAUGGGAAUACAACAGGGUAUGCAUACCAUCUUGUAUGUACCAUAUGAAUACGGAUCGGCUAAGUCCGUGCCAGCAGCCGCGGUAAUACCGAGGAUCCGAGCGUUAUCCGGAUUUAUUGGGUUUAAAGGGAGCGUAGGUGGAUUUUUAAGUAAGUUGUGAAAGUUUGGGGCUCAACCGUAAAAUUGCAGUUGAAACUGGCAGUCUUGAGUACAGUAGAGGUGAGCGGAAUUCGGGGUGUAGCGGUGAAAUGCUUAGAUAUCUCGAAGAACUCCGAUUGCGAAGGCAGCUCACUGGACUGCAACUGACACUGAUGCUCGAAAGUGUGGGUAUCAAACAGGAUUAGAUACCCGAGUAGUC
Molecule: ribosomal RNA, 460 nt
Filed under: uncultured bacterium
Lineage: Bacteria
Description: partial 16S ribosomal RNA
Rfam family: Bacterial small subunit ribosomal RNA
Source: RNAcentral